Molecule: ribosomal RNA, 497 nt
Filed under: uncultured bacterium
Lineage: Bacteria
Description: partial 16S ribosomal RNA
Rfam family: Bacterial small subunit ribosomal RNA
Source: RNAcentral
GAUGAACGCUGGCGGCGUGCCUAAUACAUGCAAGUCGAGCGAACAGACGAGGAGCUUGCUCCUCUGACGUUAGCGGCGGACGGGUGAGUAACACGUGGAUAACCUACCUAUAAGACUGGGAUAACUUCGGGAAACCGGCGCUAAUCCCGGAUAAUAUAUUGAUCCGCAUGGUUCAAUAGUGAAAGACGGUUUUGCUGUCACUUAUAGAUGGAUCCGCGCCGCAUUAGCUAGUUGGUAAGGUAAAGGCUUACCAAGGCAACGAUGGGUAGCCGACCUGAGAGGGGGAUCGGCCACACUGGAGCUGGGACACGGUCCAUACGCCUACGGGAGGCAGCAGUAGGGAAUCUUCCGCAAUGGGCGAAAGCCUGACGGAGCAACGCCGCGUGAGUUAUGAAGGUCUUCGGAUCGGAAAACUCUGUUAUUAGGGAAGAACAAAUGUGUAAGUAACUAUGCACGUCGUGACGGUACCUAAUCAGAAAGCCACGGCUAACUACGUG